UGUUGGAUAGGUCUUGGCCUGGUCGUGGCGCGUUGCAUCCCUCAGUUCGGUUUCCGCUAAUCGUGUGAUAAGACGUUGUCCCGGUCGUACACGUUACGGAUGCGGAGUUCACUGAACGUCGAGUACGCGCGGGAGGACCUCCGUUGAUGAUGACGACAGUUGCGGGGCAGAGGCUGUUCAAAUAGUUUCGGUGAUCCGAGAAAUUUUUGACAAAUUACGUGCGGCUUUUUAAUUUUGCGGUUUGGCGGUCACCAGAGUUUGGUUCAAACCCGCGAGAAGACGGAUACCAGACGGAAUGGCCUGAGAAGAACUAGUAGGAAGAGGCGCAGUGAAGGAUUCGUCUUUCCGUUGAAAGUGAAGGUGAUUCGGGAAAUUAAAGAAGAAGGAAAACAGCCACACAGCAAAAGUUCGCACACACAAGUGAAAGUGAGAUAAUAAAAAAGGCAGUGUGUAUUGUCACAAAAAUGGGAAAACAUAAAUAAAAAAGUGUUUAACAAAAAUGUCACUGUAUUUUUCCCACGCCUCCCGGUUGUCGUCGUCGUCCUCUGUGUUUGGUAACAGGUUCCGAAUCGGUGUGUUAAGUGUGAAAUAAUUGUCUAUUUUUAAAACAUCCCGUCGUGGACACAACGCCGCAACGACUUGGCGAUGGAUCUGGCGGGAAAAAGUGUCGAUGUUUCGUCGUAUGGGAUGUGUGUGUUUGUGUGUAAGCGUAAAUAUAAUUAAAAUAAAAUAAUAAAAAAAUCUGAGGAAAAAAUAAAGCGUGAAAAAGUUUUCCCGCAAAUAAAAAUAUAAACGGAAAAAGGCGAAAAAUAAACCAGUUGGUGUACGUAAUUAAACGACCAAUUGGAAAAGUCCUGAAAACAUACCCCGCACUUUAGUGUGGUUGACAAGAUCGGGGGACCAUUCGCAGCCGGUGGUACAACGACGCCGUUUUUUUUUUU
Long non-coding RNA from Culex pipiens pallens (northern house mosquito), 941 nucleotides. RefSeq lists it as uncharacterized. NCBI's taxonomy places the organism in Eukaryota, Metazoa, Arthropoda, Insecta, Diptera, Culicidae. The record is from RefSeq and is a predicted model, not a curated record. The transcript has 2 exons.